UUACCGAGUGCGGGCCCCUCGGGGCCCAACCUCCCACCCGUGUUGCCCGAACCUAUGUUGCCUCGGCGGGCCCCGCGCCCGCCGACGGCCCCCCUGAACGCUGUCUGAAGUUGCAGUCUGAGACCUAUAACGAAAUUAGUUAAAACUUUCAACAACGGAUCUCUUGGUUCCGGCAUCGAUGAAGAACGCAGCGAAAUGCGAUAACUAAUGUGAAUUGCAGAAUUCAGUGAAUCAUCGAGUCUUUGAACGCACAUUGCGCCCUCUGGUAUUCCGGAGGGCAUGCCUGUCCGAGCGUCAUUGCUGCCCUCAAGCCCGGCUUGUGUGUUGGGCCCCGUCCCCCCCGCCGGGGGGACGGGCCCGAAAGGCAGCGGCGGCACCGCGUCCGGUCCUCGAGCGUAUGGGGCUUCGUCACCCGCUCUAGUAGGCCCGGCCGGCGCCAGCCGACCCCCAACCUUUAAUUAUCUCAGGUUGACCUCGGAUCAGGUAGGGAUACCCGCUGAACUUAAGCAUAUCAAUAAGCGGAGGAAAAGAAACCAACCGGGAUUGCCCUAGUAACGGCGAGUGAAGCGGCAAGAGCUCAAAUUUGAAAGCUGGCCCCCUCGGGGUCCGCAUUGUAAUUUGCAGAGGAUGCUUCGGGAACGGCCCCCAUCUAAGUGCCCUGGAACGGGCCGUCAUAGAGGGUGAGAAUCCCGUCUGGGAUGGGGUGGCCGCGCCCGUGUGAAGCUCCUUCGACGAGUCGAGUUGUUUGGGAAUGCAGCUCUAAUUGGGUGGUAA
RNAcentral lists this ribosomal RNA (774 nucleotides) under fungal sp. RNAcentral's name for it is "eukaryotic LSU rRNA". The stretch from base 470 to 774 matches the Rfam family "Eukaryotic large subunit ribosomal RNA", at positions 1 to 302 of the family's 3401-position model. The record is from RNAcentral. Lineage: Eukaryota; Fungi.